Molecule: long non-coding RNA, 393 nt
Organism: Zophobas morio
Lineage: Eukaryota; Metazoa; Arthropoda; Insecta; Coleoptera; Tenebrionidae
Exons: 5
Source: RefSeq, a predicted model, not a curated record
GUUAUGCACCUUCGCAGGGCUGAAUUAUUCGGGAAAACUUCGUAUCCAGUCGCACUGACUGUAAUAGUCACUAAUUCUAAAUUUAAAAAACCUGAUUUUGAUCAAUUAAAUAAGGAGCCUGGAGAAGACCCAUACGAUAAAAUUAUAAACUACUAUAUGAAAAAGAAAGCAAAGAAAAAAUAUAUUUGACUUCCGAAUAUAACGAUUUUGUGUACAUGUUUAAGCAUAUGAUUCCAUGUUAAACUCCUUUAAGGGAAGAAUAUUAAAGGGGAAGACCAGGAAAUCAUAUUGUGGCCCGUCCUGCAGUAUAAAAAUCUUCCCGUCCGCCUUUUUUACUAGCGUUGUUGGUCCACGGUUCGUUUAAACUUUUGCGAGAAAAGAGUUAUUGUACCA